AGAUUGAACGCUGGCGGCAGGCCUAACACAUGCAAGUCGAGCGGUAGAGAGGUGCUUGCAUCUCUUGAGAGCGGCGGACGGGUGAGUAAUGCCUAGGAAUCUGCCUAGUGGUGGGGGAUAACGUUCGGAAACGGACGCUAAUACCGCAUACGUCCUACGGGAGAAAGCGGGGGACCUUCGGGCCUCGCGCCAUUAGAUGAGCCUAGGUCGGAUUAGCUAGUUGGUGAGGUAAUGGCUCACCAAGGCGACGAUCCGUAGCUGGUCUGAGAGGAUGAUCAGCCACACUGGAACUGAGACACGGUCCAGACUCCUACGGGAGGCAGCAGUGGGGAAUAUUGGACAAUGGGCGCAAGCCUGAUCCAGCCAUACCGCGUGGGUGAAGAAGGCCUUCGAGUUGUAAAGCCCUUUGUGGAAAGAAAGCAAUCGGUUAAUACCCGGUUGUUCUGACGGUACCCAAAGAAUAAGCACGGCUAACUCGCGCCAGCAGCCG
Molecule: ribosomal RNA, 490 nt
Filed under: uncultured soil bacterium
Lineage: Bacteria
Description: bacterial SSU rRNA
Rfam family: Bacterial small subunit ribosomal RNA
Source: RNAcentral